UACGGAGGGUGCAAGCGUUAUCCGGAUUCACUGGGUUUAAAGGGUGCGUAGGCGGGCAGGUAAGUCAGUGGUGAAAUCUUCGAGCUUAACUCGGAAACUGCCGUUGAUACUAUCUGUCUUGAAUACUCGGGAGGUGAGCGGAAUAUGUCAUGUAGCGGUGAAAUGCUUAGAUAUGACAUAGAACACCAAUUGCGAAGGCAGCUCACUACAGAGUCAUUGACGCUGAGGCACGAAAGCGUGGGGAUCAAACAGG
This 253-nucleotide ribosomal RNA is filed under the name uncultured bacterium. Its description in RNAcentral is "partial 16S ribosomal RNA". It matches the Rfam family "Bacterial small subunit ribosomal RNA", at positions 524 to 776 of the family's 1533-position model. The record is from RNAcentral. RNAcentral also lists the same sequence under 2 other names.